Molecule: ribosomal RNA, 468 nt
Filed under: uncultured bacterium
Lineage: Bacteria
Description: partial 16S ribosomal RNA
Rfam family: Bacterial small subunit ribosomal RNA
Source: RNAcentral
GACGAACGCUGGCGGCGUGCUUAACACAUGCAAGUCGAACGGAAAGGCCCUGCUUUUGUGGGGUGCUCGAGUGGCGAACGGGUGAGUAACACGUGAGUAACCUGCCCUUGACUUUGGGAUAACUUCAGGAAACUGGGGCUAAUACCGGAUAGGAGCUCCUGCUGCAUGGUGGGGGUUGGAAAGUUUCGGCGGUUGGGGCUGGACUAGCGGCUUAUCAGCUUGUUGGUGGGGUAGUGGCUUACCAAGGCUUUGACGGGUAGCCGGCCUGAGAGGGUGACCGGGCACAUUGGGACUGAGGGACGGCCCAGACUCGUACGGGAGGCAGCAGUGGAGAGUAUUGCACAGUGGGCGGGAGCCAGAUGCGGCAACGCCGCGUGCGGGAUGACGGCCUUCGGGUUGUAAACCGCUUUCGCCUGUAACGAAGCGUGAGUGACGGUAAUGAGUAAAGAAGCACCGGCUAACUACGUG